GUCGUCUAGUUUCUCUUUAUAGGUACAUGAAUUGUUUUGUUCAAAUAUGUGGCAAUGCAUGCUGUACAGAUUUUAGGAAUCAUUUGUUUGAGUUACAUGGUUGAUAUGUUCAGUAACUUUCUUAUUACUGCAAUAUGAGGUUAAGGCUAUGGAUCAUGUAUUAGAAAAUAUGGCCUCGCAGAUAGAGUGGAAUCUUAUAACAGGAUCAUGUUACUGAAUUGCAAAAGUAUGGUAGAAGCAUUAAUCAGUUUGCUAUGCUCUUAAUUUUGAGUAUGCAUGUCACAGUAAUAUAGAUCUUUCAGAACAUUUGAAUACCUAUCUUUCAAAAGUUUUGCUGCUUGUACUACUUUGUAAUCAUCUAAAAUUGAGAAAUGAGAAAAGUGACGUAAUUGUUCUUGUGUUUCAGGACUUCUGCUAUUAUGCCAAUACUAUCUUCUUGGUUGAUCUUCUUUUAUACCCAAAAAAUGAAAAGCUUUUCAUGGUUUGCUUUUCAUUUGCUGAAGUAAGACAGUAGUGCUGGGGUAGUUUAUAUUUUUUUAUUUGAUGAAUGCUUUGUCUUCUACUCUUUUUGACUUAUUAAAAUGAUGCUGUAGGGGCCAUUAGCUUGGGCAUUGAUUGUUUGGCGUUGUAGCUUGGUUUUUAGUUCUGUUGACAAAAUUGUCAGUGUCCUUAUACAUCUUUUACCGGGUGAGUUGGUCAUUCCUCUAUUGAGUUACUUAAAAUAUAUUUUAAAAAGGUAUGAAUAUCUUUUUUCAGGAAAAUGAUUUAGUCUUUUGUAAGGUUAAGGGAUUAUUCAAGAUCAAUUUCUGUUAAAUGUUGCCAAAGAAGCUCAAGAUGGUUAAAUUGUGCAUGUAUUGUAAUGAGAUUAUUCAGAAGCCAGUGAUAACUAUAAUUCUGUUGAAUUUGAAGCUAACCAUUUUAGCAUAUUUCAAGGGAGAAACAUAUAAUUCCAUCAUUGAUUCAUAAAUCAGAAUCUCUCUAUCCAAACUUGCUGUUAUAAUCCUGUAUAAAACCUUGUUAGGUUUGGCUAUCUUAAGUGUUGUUGGCUGUUGAUAAGAUCUAUGCUAAUCUUCAACAAAUUUUUUAUUCCUGUCCUCAAGUGUCAUUGUGAGUAUGAAGUUUGUACUGCACAGGUACCCACUUGGGGUGAUUAGUGUUCUACAUUAAUGCUGAAGAAUUGUAUUUCUGGGUUGGUUGAAGAUUUUUGAACGGUGUUUGGAAUAUAGCUUCUUUUGCUGACUUUUGGAGAGAUUACCAAACUACAAGCCCUGCUAGUCCCCAAAGGUGUAAAAAAAAAAAAUAGUGAAUUAAUAGUAGUUUUGUAAUAAAAAAAAUUAGUUAAUAAAUUAUUUUUCAAAAUUGGCCCCCAAAUAAAUAAAUUUGUUCUACGAUCAUUAAGUUCAACAUAUGGAAGUUUAUUUUAUUAAGCAUUUAUAAUUUUUUUUUAAUUUUAUGACAAUUUUAUGUAUAUCCAAAGUGUUAAUUAUAGAUCCUUCCCUGUGUAUGUUUUUGUGUUGUGACAUCAGGUUGAUCUUUGAUAUAAUUUAAUGCUUUACUUCCAGGCUGAUUUUCUCCACUGAUAAAGCUAAUUUUUGCAUUAUAAAUAAAGUAAGAGGGAAAAGAUAAUAUAUGACAAUUUUUUCUUAGAUAAACUGAAAAUAGAGUUUGUGACAUUUUUUUUUUCUUUUUUAC
This 1692-nucleotide unclassified non-coding RNA is filed under the name Hevea brasiliensis (rubber tree). The record is from RNAcentral. Lineage: Eukaryota; Viridiplantae; Streptophyta; Magnoliopsida; Malpighiales; Euphorbiaceae.